GAUGAACGCUGGCGGCGUGCCUAAUACAUGCAAGUCGAGCGAACGGACGAGAAGCUUGCUUCCCUGCUGUUAGCGGCGGACGGGUGGGUAACACGUGGAUAACCUACCUAUAAGACUGGGAUAACUUCGGGAAACCGGAGCUAAUACCGGCUAAUAUUUUGAACCGCAUGGUUCAAAAGUGAAUGACGGUUUUGCUGUCACUUAUAGAUGGUUCCGCGCUGCAUUAGCUAGUUGGUAAGGUAACGGCUUACCAAGGCAACGAUGCAUAGCCGACCUGAGAGGGUGAUCAGCCACACUGGAACUGAGACACGGUCCAGACUCCUACGGGAGGCAGCAGUAGGGAAUCUUCCGCAAUGGGCGAAAGCCUGACGGAGCAACGCCGCGUGAGUGAUGAAGGUCUUCGGAUCGUAAAGCUCUGUUAUUAGGGAAGAACAUAUGUGUAAGUAACUGUGCACAUCUUGACGGUACCUAAACAGAAAGCCACGGCUAACUACGUG
Molecule: ribosomal RNA, 497 nt
Filed under: uncultured bacterium
Lineage: Bacteria
Description: partial 16S ribosomal RNA
Rfam family: Bacterial small subunit ribosomal RNA
Source: RNAcentral